GGAAGUAAAAGUCAACAAGGUCUCCGUUGGUGAACCAGCGGAGGGAUCAUUACAGAGUUGCAAAACUCCCUUAAACCAUCGCGAACGUACCCGUACAUGUUGCUUCGGCGGCCGGCUCCAGGGCGGAGUCUUCUAGCCUUCACCGGCGACCGCCGGAGUGCCUAUGCUCCAAACUAUUAUCUUCGUGGGCCUCUCUGAGUAAUACUAUAAUAAGUAAAAACUUUCAACAACGGAUCUCUUGGUUCUG
This 247-nucleotide unclassified non-coding RNA is filed under the name plant metagenome. RNAcentral's name for it is "partial contains small subunit ribosomal RNA, internal transcribed spacer 1, and 5.8S ribosomal RNA". The stretch from base 1 to 52 matches the Rfam family "Eukaryotic small subunit ribosomal RNA", at positions 1778 to 1831 of the family's 1831-position model. The record is from RNAcentral.